Long non-coding RNA from Perca flavescens (yellow perch), 1890 nucleotides. RefSeq lists it as uncharacterized. Lineage: Eukaryota; Metazoa; Chordata; Actinopteri; Perciformes; Percidae. The record is from RefSeq and is a predicted model, not a curated record. The transcript has 5 exons.
GAUGGAGGAAGAGUGGAACCACCUGUUGGUGCCUUACCAGUGGGUGAGAUCCUAGGGUCUUGUCUGGCGGUGAGGGGUCCCAAGGGAGCGAGACACAUAGAAAACCAGCUAGAAAAAAAAGGACAGUCACUCCUCGAUGGCAAGUGUGACCCCUGAAACAGAGUGGGCCUCUGUGAAUGAUAGCGCUGCUGACAACUCUGGGACUGACAGAGAGGGACGACCGAGGGAGGCUGAGGUGCUGUUGAGCAGUGGAUGGAUAACACAGGGUGAAGCAGGAGAAUGGCUGCCUGCCAGAGCCCAGCACCAGGUGCAGAAUGUAGGGUAUAGAGAAGUGUCCUUCCUCAGCUCCCCCUUGGAGGGCACCAGCCCAUACUGAACAUCCACUGUCCCAGUACCCUCUACUGCUGCUAGGCCAUUUUCCCUCCCUACUCACCUCAGCUGUUUCUCCAUCUCGCCCUCAAAUGCUCCCUGUUUGUCCUCCCAGUAGAAAACAACUCUGCGCCAAACAGAAGAAGGAGAUUAUGUCAAUUAAAUGAUCAGCUUCCACGUGGUUCCUGCACACCCACUCCACCUCCACCUCACACAUUUUGGUUUGUUCUCAUCCAGCUCGAAGUGUUUGAAUUGGCUAUGCGAGACGAACGCUGGAGGCUGUUAAAGUAGUUUCAAAUAGUGAUGUGUCAUGAAUAUGGAGUUUAAGACUCAAAUCCCCAGGGAUACACAGGCUAUAGAUAGCUUGCUCCUACUACACACACAUAUGCACAAAAGGCACACACCUUCAGCACCCGUCCCACUCCAGUCAGCGUGCACAGCGCUGCUGACCCUUGUGACGUUGAAGGGGCAGAACAGGGAGAAGCCAGAAAGAGGUGAUUAAGAUGAAAGUAACAGAGUCAGAAGAAUUUCAAUGGACAGAGGAAAAAACUGAGAAAUGCAGAAAAGUCUUAUUUUUCUAGCUUCAGCCAUCAUUCCUAUUGAGAAUAAUAACAAUGUAGUCACAAGUUCUGGGAACACCAAUACUGUCUCCUAGUAAAUACUUCUAUAUAUAUCUAAAUUGUUUUCCCAAUUAAGUUGUGAUGAAAAACGUAAUCGCUGCCUGGAUUAUGUUCAGAGGCAACAUUUGUUUUUUUUUAAAGGGAUGAUGAGCAACAUUUAUGAGUUGUGAGGGAGGUGAUCCAGAUGAAAGGUUCAAGACUUUGACACCAGAGACCAGAGUUUGCAUCCACACUUUCCGUCUGUGGUUUGGUUUAGGCAACAAAAGCACUUUGGUUAAGGCUGAGGAAAGAUCAUGUUUUUUGUCAAAUCUUGAUAAACACGUGUCUUAUUGCAUUAAACCUGACAACAAUCCUUUUCCUACCUUAACCAAGUGCUGCCAGUGCCUAAACAUAACCAUAAAUGUUUAAAGGCUCAAUAUGUAAUACUGACAGCGUUUAAAAUGGUUACUGCAGUCCAAAUUCAAAAUACUGAAAAGAGUCGUACCCCCCGCCCCUCCUCCCCAGCAUCAAAGUUCACGGGGGUUGCCAGGUUGAGAAUGCUAAACCCAACGUCACACAAUGUCAAUGUUAGCUUGAUGCUAGUCUCGCAUUGCCAGACAUUACUCCACAGCGGAGUUGCUAGAUGCUGCUAUGUUGACGGUUAUAAAAGCCUGAGCUCUCGCGGAGCUCUGUACCUGCCUGACAGUCACCUUUUAUUAACUAACUGUAACAACAACAACCGUUAAAAAGACCUUGUGGUGCUUUGUGCCCAACUGACAGCGUGUCCCAAUCCAACUAUUCAGGCUAUGGGGUGUUUUGCCAAAGUUAAAUUGCAUGUUUUCAUUAAGAGGAAGUCAAACUUGCGGUUUCUGGCAUAUGUCGGCGUUAGCACCAGUCAGGAUCACUUCACUGGCUGUCUACA